This 406-nucleotide ribosomal RNA is filed under the name uncultured bacterium. Its description in RNAcentral is "partial 16S ribosomal RNA". It matches the Rfam family "Bacterial small subunit ribosomal RNA", at positions 30 to 526 of the family's 1533-position model. The record is from RNAcentral.
AUUGAACGCUUGCGGCAGGCCUAACACAUGCAAGUCGAGCGAGCGGCGGACGGGUGAGUAAUGUAUGGGGAUCUGCCCGCUAGAGGGGGAUAACUACGGGAAACGGUAGCUAAUACCGCAUACUAUCGGAUGUGCCAAGAUGGGAUUAGCUAGUAGGUGGGGUAAAGGCUCACCUAGGCGACGAUCCCUAGCUGGUCUGAGAGGAUGAGCAGCCACACUGGGACUGAGACACGGUCCAGACUCCUACGGGAGGCAGCAGUGGGGAAUAUUGCACAAUGGGGGCAAGCCUGACGCAGCCAUGCCGCGUGUAUGAAGAAGGCCUUCGGGUUGUAAAGUUCUUUCGGUGGCGAGGCGUUAACUACAGAAGAAGAACCGGCUAACUCCGUGCCAGCAGCCGCGGUAAUAC